AAUUACCCAAUUCUAACAGCAUAAGAGAGGUAGUGACAAGAAAUAACAAUACAAGGCAGUUAAAAUGCUUUGUAAUUGGAAUGAUAGAAAUUUAAACACUUUUUAAAGUAUCAAUUGGAGGGCAAGUCUGGUGCCAGCAGCCGCGGUAAUUCCAGCUCCAAUAGCGUAUAUUAAAAUUGUUGCAGUUAAAAAGCUCGUAGUUGAAUUUCUGCUAAAAAUAACCGGUCUGCUUUUAAUAAAGGUGGUAUCUUGGUGUGUUUUUAGCAAUAAUGUCCUUUGAAAUGUUUUUUACUUUAUUGUAAUAAAUUAUAUUCAGGAUUUUUACUUUGAGAAAAUUAGAGUGUUUCUAGCAGGCUAACGCUUUGAAUACUGCAGCAUGGAAUAAUAAAAUAGGAUUUUGGUUCUACAUUAUUGGUUUUAAGAGCUAAAUUAAUGAUUGAUAGGGACAGUUGGGGGCAUUUGUAUUUAACUGUCAGAGGUGAAAUUCUUAGAUUUGUUAAAGACAAACUACUGCGAAAGCAUUUGCCAAAGAUGUUUUCAUUAAUCAAGAACGAAAGUUAGGGGAUCGAAGACGAUCAGAUACCGUCGUAGUCUUAACUAUAAACUAUGCCGACUAGAGAUUGGAGGUCGUCUUUAUAAACGACUCCUCAGCACCUUACGAGAAAUCAAA
RNAcentral lists this ribosomal RNA (670 nucleotides) under Hepatozoon felis. Its description in RNAcentral is "bacterial SSU rRNA". It matches the Rfam family "Eukaryotic small subunit ribosomal RNA", at positions 439 to 1102 of the family's 1831-position model. Lineage: Eukaryota; Apicomplexa; Hepatozoidae. The record is from RNAcentral.